This 468-nucleotide ribosomal RNA is filed under the name uncultured bacterium. RNAcentral's name for it is "partial 16S ribosomal RNA". It matches the Rfam family "Bacterial small subunit ribosomal RNA", at positions 28 to 507 of the family's 1533-position model. The record is from RNAcentral.
GACGAACGCUGGCGGCGUGCUUAACACAUGCAAGUCGAACGGAAAGGCCCUGCUUUUGUGGGGUGCUCGAGUGGCGAACGGGUGAGUAACACGUGAGUAACCUGCCCUUGACUUUGGGAUAACUUCAGGAAACUGGGGCUAAUACCGGAUAGGAGCUCCUGCUGCAUGGUGGGGGUUGGAAAGUUUCGGCGGUUGGGGAUGGACUCGCGGCUUAUCAGCUUGUUGGUGGGGUAGUGGCUUACCAAGGCUUUGACGGGUAGCCGGCCUGAGAGGGUGACCGGCCACAUUGGGACUGAGAUACGGCCCAGACUCCUACGGGAGGCAGCAGUGGGGAAUAGUGCACAAUGGGCGGAAGCCUGAUGCAGCAACGCCGCGUGCGGGAUGACGGCCUUCGGGUUGUAAUCCGCUGUCGCCUGUGACGAAGCGUGAGUGACGGUAAUGGGUAAAGAAGCACCGGCUAACUACGUG